Molecule: ribosomal RNA, 497 nt
Filed under: uncultured bacterium
Lineage: Bacteria
Description: partial 16S ribosomal RNA
Rfam family: Bacterial small subunit ribosomal RNA
Source: RNAcentral
GAUGAACGCUGGCGGCGUUCCUAAUACAUGCAAGUCGAGCGAACAGACGAGGAGCUUGCUCCUCUGACGUUAGCGGCGGACGGGUGAGUAACACGUGGCUAACCUACCUAUAAGACUGGGAUAACUUCGGGAAACCGGAGCUAAUACCGAAUAAUAUAUUGAACAGCAUGGUUCAAUAGUGAAAGACGGUUUUGCUGUCACUUAUAGAUGGAUCCGCGCCGCAUUAGCUAGUUGGUAAGGUAACGGCUUACCAAGGCAACGAUGCGUAGCCGACCUGAGAGGGUGAUCGGCCACACUGGAACUGAGACACGGUCCAGACUCCUACGGGAGGCAGCAGUAGGGAAUCUUCCGCAAUGGGCGAAAGCCUGACGGAGCAACGCCGCGUGAGUGAUGAAGGUCUUCGGAUCGUAAAACUCUGUUAUUAGGGAAGAACAAAUGUGUAAGUAACUAUGCACGUCUUGACGGUACCUAAUCAGAAAGCCACGGCUAACUACGUG